This is a long non-coding RNA of Hemiscyllium ocellatum (epaulette shark), 1328 nucleotides long. RefSeq lists it as uncharacterized. The transcript has 3 exons. The record is from RefSeq and is a predicted model, not a curated record. Lineage: Eukaryota; Metazoa; Chordata; Chondrichthyes; Orectolobiformes; Hemiscylliidae.
AGCAAAUACCUGGUUAAACACCAGGAAUGACAGUGAAAUUAGUGUCGGUGGACAAGAGAAAAGAUUGGAAUGGAAAUCCUGUUGGAGAGAGGAGCAGAACCCUUCAAGCAUGUGAGAAAAUGCAUCAAACAAAACAUUAAAAUCCACAUUGACCUCAUCCAGAAAAUAAAUCCUGUGAUUUCAACAUUGCUCAUGAAUUUGCAUACCUAUUUUCCCACUGUUUGAUGGGUGAAAGAACGUUGGAGAUAUUGACAGCUUAAACCACAAAUUUUCAAUGUAUGAGGACAUCAGCUACCUGACGAAGGAGCAGCAUUCCAAAAGCUUGUACUUCCAAAUAAACCUGUUGGACUAUAGCCUGAUGUUGUGUGAUUUUUAAUUUUCGAGGAGUAAGUGAGGACUGCAGAUGCUGGAGAUCCUGAAGAAGAGCUUAUGCCCGAAACGUCGAAUCUCCUGUUCCUUGGAUGCUGCCUGACCUGCUGCGCUUUUCCAGCAACACAUUUUCAGCUCUGAUUUUUAAUUUUGUCCACCCCAGUCCAACACCGGCACCUCCACAUCAUCUCUACUUGAAGACUGCUGCAAACUAUUUAUUCAAGUCCUCUGCUGUAUCCUGGUUGUCCAUUAUAAUUUGAAGAACACGCUAAAACAUCUUGAAUAUGCUUUGAUUUAAUUCUUUCUGAUUUGUAUUGUUUCAGUUAGUUCAAAUACAUCCAUAAACUGUUAAUGCCUUUUGAGGUGACAGCAUAGGACUGUAUGCAUGUUACAUGGAGACAAUGUAAGACGAUAGACCAGAGCUAAGUGACCCUGUAACUGACAAGGUAGCUCCAAAUUCUGUAGCUAUGGGCUUUGUGAAUGAUGACAGACAACUAAGUAACUAACAAGUGGACAUUGUUACUCAAACGUCAUCAUUCUCAGUGCUGGUAGAGUACAGUAGCAGAGUUCAAACAAUACAGCUGGAACAUUCUUCAGUGAGAAAUGCCAAGUGGAUAACCUCAUUCAGUCGUCUCCUGCAAACCCAGUAUCACAGUUGUCAGUUUUCCAUGUAAAAUAUCCUUAGCAUCAGCAAAGGAUUGCCUAAUGCUUGUUUGGUGAGUGUGCUCUUGAUGUACACCAUGUAAGGAGACACUGUCAGUUAUUUGCUCGCAUCUAUUCUCUAGGGAAUUUCUCCAGUGACAGCAGGUACUCUCUGUUUCUGCCUUGCUGUGGAAUGUACAGAAGGCAGCAGCUGGCCACUUAGUUCAGGAGGCAGUGAAAUUGAUGGAUAUGGAUUCAAUGUAAGCAAUGUGUUUGUUCCUUAAUCUGUCAUUAAGUAAACUAAAACAUAAAAUCUA